This 1941-nucleotide ribosomal RNA is filed under the name Campylobacter coli. RNAcentral describes it as "partial 23S ribosomal RNA". It matches the Rfam family "Bacterial large subunit ribosomal RNA", at positions 288 to 2063 of the family's 2925-position model. Lineage: Bacteria; Pseudomonadati; Campylobacterota; Epsilonproteobacteria; Campylobacterales; Campylobacteraceae. The record is from RNAcentral.
GCACUGGGGGUUGUAGGACUGCAAUGUGCAAGAGGUGAGUUUAGCAGAACAUUCUGGAAAGUAUAGCCAUAGAGGGUGAUAGUCCCGUAUGCGAAAAACAAACCUUAGCUAGCAGUAUCCUGAGUAGGGCGGGACACGAGAAAUCCUGUCUGAAGCUGGGUCGACCACGAUCCAACCCUAAAUACUAAUACCAGAUCGAUAGUGCACAAGUACCGUGAGGGAAAGGUGAAAAGAACUGAGGUGAUCAGAGUGAAAUAGAACCUGAAACCAUUUGCUUACAAUCAUUCAGAGCACUAUGUAGCAAUACAGUGUGAUGGACUGCCUUUUGCAUAAUGAGCCUGCGAGUUGUGGUGUCUGGCAAGGUUAAGCAAACGCGAAGCCGUAGCGAAAGCGAGUCUGAAUAGGGCGCUUAGUCAGAUGCUGCAGACCCGAAACGAAGUGAUCUAUCCAUGAGCAAGUUGAAGCUAGUGUAAGAACUAGUGGAGGACUGAACCCAUAGGCGUUGAAAAGCCCCGGGAUGACUUGUGGAUAGGGGUGAAAGGCCAAUCAAACUUCGUGAUAGCUGGUUCUCUCCGAAAUAUAUUUAGGUAUAGCGUUGUGUCGUAAUAUAAGGGGGUAGAGCACUGAAUGGGCUAGGGCAUACACCAAUGUACCAAACCCUAUCAAACUCCGAAUACCUUAUAUGUAAUCACAGCAGUCAGGCGGCGAGUGAUAAAAUCCGUCGUCAAGAGGGAAACAACCCAGACUACCAGCUAAGGUCCCUAAAUCUUACUUAAGUGGAAAACGAUGUGAAGUUACUUAAACAACCAGGAGGUUGGCUUAGAAGCAGCCAUCCUUUAAAGAAAGCGUAAUAGCUCACUGGUCUAGUGAUUUUGCGCGGAAAAUAUAACGGGGCUAAAGUAAGUACCGAAGCUGUAGACUUGCGCACAACUUAGAUUAUUUAAGUUUAGAAUAUGAGAAACUAAGUUAUAUGUUUAGUUAUAUUUUUACUGAUUUUUAUAGAGUAAAGAUAGAAAUAAAACUUAGUAAAAUCAGUAAAAAUAUUCUUAGACUAAAGUUAAGUAGUUUAAGUUGUGUGCAAGUGGUAGGAGAGCGUUCUAUUUGCGUCGAAGGUAUACCGGUAAGGAGUGCUGGAGCGAAUAGAAGUGAGCAUGCAGGCAUGAGUAGCGAUAAUUAAUGUGAGAAUCAUUAACGCCGUAAACCCAAGGUUUCCUACGCGAUGCUCGUCAUCGUAGGGUUAGUCGGGUCCUAAGUCGAGUCCGAAAGGGGUAGACGAUGGCAAAUUGGUUAAUAUUCCAAUACCAACAUUAGUGUGCGAUGGAAGGACGCUUAGGGCUAAGGGGGCUAGCGGAUGGAAGUGCUAGUCUAAGGUCGUAGGAGGUUAUACAGGCAAAUCCGUAUAACAAUACUCCGAGAACUGAAAGGCUUUUUGAAGUCUUCGGAUGGAUAGAAGAACCCCUGAUGCCGUCGAGCCAAGAAAAGUUUCUAAGUUUAGCUAAUGUUGCCCGUACCGUAAACCGACACAGGUGGGUGGGAUGAGUAUUCUAAGGCGCGUGGAAGAACUCUCUUUAAGGAACUCUGCAAAAUAGCACCGUAUCUUCGGUAUAAGGUGUGGUUCGCUUCGUAUUAGGAUUUACUCCGAAAGCGAAGAAACUUACAACAAAGAGUCCCUCCCGACUGUUUACCAAAAACACAGCACUCUGCUAACUCGUAAGAGGAUGUAUAGGGUGUGACGCCUGCCCGGUGCUCGAAGGUUAAUUGAUGGGGUUAGCAUUAGCGAAGCUCUUGAUCGAAGCCCGAGUAAACGGCGGCCGUAACUAUAACGGUCCUAAGGUAGCGAAAUUCCUUGUCGGUUAAAUACCGACCUGCAUGAAUGGCGUAACGAGAUGGGAGCUGUCUCAAAGAGGGAUCCAGUGAAAUUGUAGUGGAGGUGAAAAUUCC